This 604-nucleotide ribosomal RNA is filed under the name uncultured soil bacterium. RNAcentral's name for it is "bacterial SSU rRNA". It matches the Rfam family "Bacterial small subunit ribosomal RNA", at positions 224 to 823 of the family's 1533-position model. The record is from RNAcentral.
GAGGAGCCUGCGGCGGAUUAGCUAGUUGGCAGGGUAACGGCCUACCAAGGCGACGAUCCGUAGCCGGCCUGAGAGGGCGGUCGGCCACACUGGCACUGACACACGGGCCAGACUCCUACGGGAGGCAGCAGUCGGGAAUUUUGGGCAAUGGGCGAAAGCCUGACCCAGCAACGCCGCGUGAAGGAUGAAGCUUUUCGGAGUGUAAACUUCAUAAGAAUGGGACGAAUAAGAGAGGGCUAAUACCCCUUUUGAUGACGGUACCAUUUGUAAGCUCCGGCUAACUCCGUGCCAGCAGCCGCGGUAAUACGGGGGGAGCAAGCGUUGUUCGGAUUUACUGGGCGUAAAGGGCGCGUAGGCGGCGCAACAAGUCACUUGUGAAAUCUCCGGGCUUAACCCGGAGCGGCCAAGUGAUACUGUCGUGCUAGAGUGCGGAAGGGGCUACUGGAAUUCUCGGUGUAGCGGUGAAAUGCGUAGAUAUCGAGAGGAACACCUGCGGCGAAGGCGGGUAGCUGGGCCGACACUGACGCUGAUGCGCGAAAGCCAGGGGAGCGAACGGGAUUAGAUACCCCGGUAGUCCUGGCCUUAAACGAUGGAUACUUGGUGU